GCUGAGGUUUGGAGGUGCGGCUUGAGCUCGCUCAGUGGCGCGCUGCCUAGUUCUCAGAGUAAGAGAAAAGACGAUUGUUCUGUUUAGCUUUUAGGGGCAACUCUCAGAGUUACCUUUAUUAAAAAAAAAAGAAAAAGGAAAAAAAAUCUGCCCUUGAACGAGAACGCUGGGUCUGUCUUCCGAGACACUUGGCAUCAAUAACGGAUAACUAAUCCUGGAGACUGAGGAAACAAAUAAUCAGCUCAAAAUGCUUACAGCCUUUCAAAGAUUUUCCAGGAUGCGGGUUUGGGAGAGAAAACCUAAGCACAGCCCAGCGAAUUGCCUGCGUUGACCGGUUGGAGCCGAAAGUUUGUGGGAGACCAAGGCAGGGGGAAGACACAAAGUGGGUGCUUACUCCUGAUCAUGGUGAAUGGUGGCUGUUUUGUCUGCAGUUUUACCACUUCUCUAGUGCUGCCACAAUCUGCUGAAUUCUCUUUUGUUCUCUGCAGCUCCCCGACACUCAAGAAACAGAAGAAGAUGACAAGAAGAAGAGAAAGAGGAGGAGGACAUUUGAUGACGAACAGAAACAUGCAGAUAACUAGCAUAUAUUGAAUACUCAACCUCAAUCAAGGUACUAUAUUAGGCAUUUUUACUCAUGCUAUCUUUAAUCUUCAUAUUACCACAAAUGGUGCAUAUUCUUAAUCAACAUUUUAUAGAAUUAAUUUCUCCAUGGCCAUUGUACUGAUGGCAGUGAACCCAAUAUUUGAAUCCAAAACUAAUAUUGAGGGGUCUAAAUUGGUAGUACUGGUUUAGAUGAAAUUUAUUAUAAUAAAUAUUUAUUUUAUAGUAAAUUAAAUAUUUAUUUUAUAGUUUGGUUACAUUUUAAAUGUAUAAAUUGUAUAAGGUGAAAGAUACUGUAAGGAAAAUGUUUAUGUGUAUUAAUGCAAUAUGCUUAAUUAAUAUAAAUAUAACAGGCAUUAAGUAAUAUUUAUCACAAUCAAAACGGUAUUGAGAAAAGCUGUCAAAAUACAGAGAACAAGGCUGCCUAUUACUAACGGAUGAGUGAGCCAAUGUACUUCAACUUGCAACAACUCAAGGAAAGGGCUAGGAGAUGAUUAAGAGCCUCUUGUGCACUGGAGAAAGCAUGUGAUCAAAAGGGACACUAAUGUGUCUAUAAAAGGAACUGUGGAGGACUUUCCUGUGGGUUACUUUUUAGGUACACUUCAAGAAUGUUUCUCAUUUAAGAAUAGUGUCAAUAAGUCAAGUGCUCAAUGAGCCCAAAUCCUACUGAUUGGAAUCACUGCAUAAAAAUAUC
This is a long non-coding RNA of Orcinus orca (killer whale), 1294 nucleotides long. RefSeq lists it as uncharacterized. Lineage: Eukaryota; Metazoa; Chordata; Mammalia; Artiodactyla; Delphinidae. The record is from RefSeq and is a predicted model, not a curated record. The transcript is spliced from 3 exons.